GUUCCCUUCGGGGGGACACUAUGGGAAAAAACUUUGGGAACGGAUCGGAGAAGAUUAGCAUGGCCCCUGCACAAGGAUGACACGCUUUUCCGGAGUGGUAGACCUACGGGUCUCAAUAUUUAU
This 123-nucleotide small nuclear RNA is filed under the name Moniliophthora perniciosa FA553. The record is from RNAcentral. Lineage: Eukaryota; Fungi; Basidiomycota; Agaricomycetes; Agaricales; Marasmiaceae.